AUACGGUAGGGUCAGAUCAUAUGUUGCAAUUAUUCUUCUCUUUUCUGUAUAUUAAAACAGAUAGAAGUAAUUAACCCCAAUAACCCUAUUUUUCCAAAUCUUGCGUUUUUCUUAGUCAUUUGAAUUUUUCGUUGUUAAUCCAAAAAAAAUUAGGAAAUGGCAGCAGAUAUAUGUGAUCCGGCUUUCUUUUU
RNAcentral lists this non-coding RNA (191 nucleotides) under Ceratosolen solmsi marchali. Lineage: Eukaryota; Metazoa; Arthropoda; Insecta; Hymenoptera; Agaonidae. The record is from RNAcentral.